GCCCCCAUCGUCUUUCGGUUCAGGACACCUCUCUUUCAAGGAGGCAGCGGGGAUUCGACUUCCCCUGGGGGUA
This 73-nucleotide transfer RNA is filed under the name Gossypium hirsutum (cotton). It matches the Rfam family "tRNA". From Rfam's summary of the family: Transfer RNA (tRNA) molecules are approximately 80 nucleotides in length. Lineage: Eukaryota; Viridiplantae; Streptophyta; Magnoliopsida; Malvales; Malvaceae. The record is from Rfam by way of RNAcentral.